Molecule: ribosomal RNA, 253 nt
Filed under: uncultured bacterium
Lineage: Bacteria
Description: partial 16S ribosomal RNA
Rfam family: Bacterial small subunit ribosomal RNA
Source: RNAcentral
UACGUAGGCAGCAAGCGUUGUUCGGAAUUACUGGGCGUAAAGAGUGUGUAGGCGGUGUUCUAAGUCUGUUGUGAAAUCUCCCGGCUUAACUGGGAGGGUGCGGCGGAAACUGGAAUGCUAGAGUCCGGAAGAGGAGAGUGGAAUUCCUGGUGUAGCGGUGAAAUGCGCAGAUAUCAGGAAGAACACCCGUGGCGAAGGCGGCUCUCUGGGACGGUACUGACGCUGAGACGCGAAAGCGUGGGGAGCGAACAGG